RNAcentral lists this ribosomal RNA (482 nucleotides) under uncultured Rhodothermaceae bacterium. RNAcentral describes it as "bacterial SSU rRNA". It matches the Rfam family "Bacterial small subunit ribosomal RNA", at positions 28 to 505 of the family's 1533-position model. Lineage: Bacteria; Pseudomonadati; Rhodothermota; Rhodothermia; Rhodothermales; Rhodothermaceae. The record is from RNAcentral.
GACGAACGCUGGCGGCGGGCUUAACACAUGCAAGUCGAACGAGAAGCUCAGAGCUUGCUCUGAGUGGAAAGUGGCGCACGGGUGCGUAACGCGUAGGCAACCUGCCUUCAAGAGGGGAAUAACCACCGGAAACGGUAGCUAAUUCCGCAUAUUGUCUGUUUAUCGCAUGAUUUACAGAUGAAAGCCUUCGGGUGCUUGAAGAUGGGCCUGCGUCGGAUUAGGUAGUUGGUAGGGUAAUGGCUUACCAAGCCUACGAUCCGUAGCUGGUCUGAGAGGAUGAUCAGCCACACUGGCACUGAGACACGGGCCAGACUCCUACGGGAGGCAGCAGUGAGGAAUAUUGCGCAAUGGGGGAAACCCUGACGCAGCCACGCCGCGUGGAGGAUGACACCCCUAUGGGGCGUAAACUCCUUUUAUAUGAGAAGAAAACCUGAUUCUGUCGGGCCUGACGGUAUCAUAUGAAUAAGCACCGGCUAACUCCG